RNAcentral lists this ribosomal RNA (914 nucleotides) under uncultured bacterium. Its description in RNAcentral is "bacterial SSU rRNA". It matches the Rfam family "Bacterial small subunit ribosomal RNA", at positions 487 to 1398 of the family's 1533-position model. The record is from RNAcentral.
UAAGCACCGGCUAACUCCGUGCCAGCAGCCGCGGUAAUACGGAGGGUGCAAGCGUUAUUNGGAAUCACUGGGCGUAAAGGACGCGUAGGCGGGAAGCCAAGUCUGAUGUGAAAUCCUAUGGCUUAACCAUAGAACUGCAUUGGAAACUGGUUACCUAGAGUAUGGGAGGGGGAGAUGGAAUUAGUGGUGUAGGGGUAAAAUCCGUAGAUAUCACUAGGAAUACCGAAAGCGAAGGCGAUCUCCUGGAACAAUACUGACGCUAAGGCGUGAAAGCGUGGGGAGCAAACGGGAUUAGAUACCCCGGUAGUCCACGCCCUAAACGAUGAACACUAGUCGUCGGAAUGCUAGUCAUUUCGGUGAUGCACUUAACAGAUUAAGUGUUCCGCCUGGGGAGUACGGUCGCAAGAUUAAAACUCAAAGGAAUAGACGGGGACCCGCACAAGUGGUGGAGCAUGUGGUUUAAUUCGAAAAUACGCGAAGAACCUUACCUAGCCUUGACAUUGAUUGAACACUUUAGAGAUAGAGUGGUGCCCUUCGGGGAACAUGAAAACAGGUGCUGCACGGCUGUCGCCAGCUCGUGUCGUGAGAUGUUGGGUUAAGUCCCGCAACGAGCGCAACCCUCGUCUUUAGUUGCCAGCAGGUUAAGCUGGGCACUCUAAAGAGACUGCCUUCGCAAGGAGGAGGAAGGUGAGGACGACGUCAAGUCAUCAUGGCCCUUAUGGCUAGGGCUACACACGUGCUACAAUGGGGCGUACAGAGAGUUGCGAUACCGCGAGGUGGAGCCAAUCUCAUAAAGCGUCUCUCAGUUCGGAUUGAAGUCUGCAACUCGACUUCAUGAAGCUGGAAUCACUAGUAAUCGUAGAUCAGCAAUGCUACGGUGAAUACGUUCCCGGGUCUUGCACACACCGCCCGUC